AACUCCGGGAAACCGGGGCUAAUACCGGAUAAUUCUUUCCCUCACAUGAGGGAAAGCUGAAAGAUGGUUUCGGCUAUCACUUACAGAUGGGCCCGCGGCGCAUUAGCUAGUUGGUGAGGUAACGGCUCACCAAGGCGACGAUGCGUAGCCGACCUGAGAGGGUGAUCGGCCACACUGGGACUGAGACACGGCCCAGACUCCUACGGGAGGCAGCAGUAGGGAAUCUUCCGCAAUGGACGAAAGUCUGACGGAGCAACGCCGCGUGAGUGAUGAAGGUUUUCGGAUCGUAAAACUCUGUUGUUAGGGAAGAACAAGUACCGGAGUAACUGCCGGUACCUUGACGGUACCUAACCAGAAAGCCACGGCUAACUACGUGCCAGCAGCCGCGGUAAUACGUAGGUGGCAAGCGUUGUCCGGAAUUAUUGGGCGUAAAGCGCGCGCAGGCGGUUCCUUAAGUCUGAUGUGAAAGCCCCCGGCUCAACCGGGGAGGGUCAUUGGGAAACUGGGGGAACUUGAGUGCAGAAGAGAAGAGUGGAAUUCCACGUGUAGCGGUGAAAUGCGUA
Molecule: ribosomal RNA, 563 nt
Filed under: Cytobacillus firmus
Lineage: Bacteria; Bacillati; Bacillota; Bacilli; Caryophanales; Bacillaceae
Description: bacterial SSU rRNA
Rfam family: Bacterial small subunit ribosomal RNA
Source: RNAcentral